This 67-nucleotide transfer RNA is filed under the name Saussurella borneensis. RNAcentral's name for it is "tRNA-Ser". Lineage: Eukaryota; Metazoa; Arthropoda; Insecta; Orthoptera; Tetrigidae. The record is from RNAcentral.
AGUUAAUUAGCUAAUUAAGCAUGUGCCUUGAAAACACAAUCAUAGAAAUUAAACCUUCUAUUAACUU